Molecule: ribosomal RNA, 446 nt
Filed under: uncultured bacterium
Lineage: Bacteria
Description: partial 16S ribosomal RNA
Rfam family: Bacterial small subunit ribosomal RNA
Source: RNAcentral
CCUACGGGAGGCUGCAGUCGAGAAUCAUUCACAAUGGGGGAAACCCUGAUGGUGCGACGCCGCGUGGGGGAAUGAAGGUCUUCGGAUUGUAAACCCCUGUCAUGUGGGAGCAAAUUAAAAAGAUAGUACCACAAGAGGAAGAGACGGCUAACUCUGUGCCAGCAGCCGCGGUAAUACAGAGGUCUCAAGCGGUGUUCGGAAUCCCUGGGCGUAAAGGGUGCGUAGGCUGUUUCGUAAGUCGUGUGUGAAAGGCGCGGGCUCAACCCGCGGACGGCACAUGAUACUGCGAGACUAGAGUAAUGGAGGGGGAACCGGAAUUCGCGGUGUAGCAGUGAAAUGCGUAGAUAUCGAGAGGAACACUCGUGGCGAAGGCGGGUUCCUGGACAUUAACUGACGCUGAGGCACGAAGGCCAGGGGAGCGAAAGGGAUUAGAUACCCUUGUAGUC